Molecule: ribosomal RNA, 1765 nt
Filed under: Photobacterium sp. MB14
Lineage: Bacteria; Pseudomonadati; Pseudomonadota; Gammaproteobacteria; Vibrionales; Vibrionaceae
Description: partial 16S ribosomal RNA
Rfam family: Bacterial small subunit ribosomal RNA
Source: RNAcentral
GUCGAGCGGAACGAUGAAGAGCCUGGUCCCUUUGCUGACGAGCGGCGGACGGGUGACUAAUGCCUGACCUGAUGCCUUAAUGGGGGGGAUACCUGGAAAAAACGACUACUACCACCGCAUUCCUUUCCCCGACCGAAGAAGGGGACCUUCAGGCCUCCCGCGCUAAGAUUACCCCGGGUGGGAUUAGCUAUUUGGUGGGGGAAAGGCUCACCAAGGCCCCGAUCCCUAACUGGUCUCAGACGAUGAUCGGCCACCCUGGAACUGAGACCUGGUCCCCACUCCUACCGGAGGCAGCAGUGGGGAAUAUUGCUCAAUGGGGGAAACCCUGAUGCAGCCAUGCCGCGUGCGUGAAGAAGGCCUUCGGUUUGUAAAGUACUUUCUUUCGUGAGGAAGACAUUGUGGUUAACGUCUGCAGUGGUUGACGCUUGCGACAGACCAACCACCAGCUCACUCCUUGCCUACUGCCGCGGUAAUACGGAAGGUGCGAGCGGUAAUCGGAAUUCCUGAGUGUUAGGCGCAUGCAGGCGGUUAGUUGAUUUAUAUGUGAAAGCCCGGGGCUCAACCUCUCAACCGCGUUUGGAACUGGCUAACUGGAGACUUGUAGAGGGGAGUAGAAUUUCGGGUGUACCGGUGAAAUGCGUAAAGAUCUGAAUGAAUACCGGAGGCCAAGGGGGCCCCCUGACUUACGACUGACUCUCAGAUGCGAAAGCGUGAGGAGCAGAGAGGAUUACAUACCUUGAUAGUCUGCGCCGCAAACCAUGACUACUUGAAGGUUGUGGCUUUGAGCCUUGCCUCUCUUAGCUGACGCGUUAAGCACACCACCUGGCGAGUACGGGCGCAAGAUUCAAACUCAUAUGAAUUGACGGAUUGCCCGCAUGCAAGUCGUUUAGUUAAGUCGAGANGUAAAAGCCCACGGGUUCAACCGUCGAGNGUGCAUUUAGACUUGGGAACCUAAGAGUCAGAUAGAGAAAGGGAGAUUUUCAGUGGUACCGGGGAAAGGGGAAAUGAUCUGAAGGACUACAGGUGGGGAAGGGGGUCUCCUGUACAAAGAUGACCGCUCAGAUGAAAAGCGUGGGAGCCAACCAGGAUUAGAUACCUGGGUAGUCCACCCGUAAACGAUGAUCUAUAAGGANUAGAGGGCUUUCACCCUUUAGUUUUGCAGCUAACGCAUUAAGCAGUCCGCCUGGGGAGUACGGUCGCAAGAUUAAAACUCAAAGGAAUUGACGGGGGCCCGCACAAGCGGUGGAGCAUGUGGUUUAAUUCGAAGCAACGCGAAGAACCUUACCAGGUCUUGACAUCCUGAGAAACCCGUGGAGAUACGGCUUUCCCUUUGGGAGGUCAGAGACACAGGUGGCACAGGGGUGUUCUCAUCUUGUUUUGAAAGAUUGGGGUAAAUCUCCCACAGAGAGCACCCCCCAUCCUUUUAGUCCCCCGCAUUCAGGUGGGCACUCCAGGGAGACUGCCGGUGACAAACCGGAGGAAGGUGGGGAUGACGUCAAGUCAUCAUGCCCCUUAUGACUAGGGCUACACACGUGCUACAAUGGCGGGUACAGAGGGCAGCCAACCCGCGAGGGUGAGCCAAUCCCACAAAGCCCUUCGUAGUUCGGAUCGGAGUCUGCAACUCGCCUCCAUGAAGUCGGAAUCGCUAGUAAUCGUGAAUCAGCAUGUCACGGUGAAUACGUUCCCGGGCCUUGUACACACCGCCCGUCACACCAUGGGAGUGGGUUGCACCAGAAGUAGGUAGGGUAACCUUCGCAACGGCCUG